UGCCUAAUACAUGCAAGUCGAGCGAACUGAUUAGAAGCUUGCUUCUAUGACGUUAGCGGCGGACGGGUGAGUAACACGUGGGCAACCUGCCUGUAAGACUGGGAUAACUUCGGGAAACCGAAGCUAAUACCGGAUAGGAUCUUCUCCUUCAUGGGAGAUGAUUGAAAGAUGGUUUCGGCUAUCACUUACAGAUGGGCCCGCGGUGCAUUAGCUAGUUGGUGAGGUAACGGCUCACCAAGGCAACGAUGCAUAGCCGACCUGAGAGGGUGAUCGGCCACACUGGGACUGAGACACGGCCCAGACUCCUACGGGAGGCAGCAGUAGGGAAUCUUCCGCAAUGGACGAAAGUCUGACGGAGCAACGCCGCGUGAGUGAUGAAGGCUUUCGGGUCGUAAAACUCUGUUGUUAGGGAAGAACAAGUACAAGAGUAACUGCUCGUACCUUGACGGUACCAAACCAGAAAGCCACGGCUAACUACGUGCCA
RNAcentral lists this ribosomal RNA (484 nucleotides) under Priestia aryabhattai. RNAcentral describes it as "bacterial SSU rRNA". It matches the Rfam family "Bacterial small subunit ribosomal RNA", at positions 45 to 510 of the family's 1533-position model. Lineage: Bacteria; Bacillati; Bacillota; Bacilli; Caryophanales; Bacillaceae. The record is from RNAcentral.